This 452-nucleotide ribosomal RNA is filed under the name uncultured bacterium. Its description in RNAcentral is "bacterial SSU rRNA". It matches the Rfam family "Bacterial small subunit ribosomal RNA", at positions 29 to 506 of the family's 1533-position model. The record is from RNAcentral.
AACGAACGCUGGCGGCAGGCCUAACACAUGCAAGUCGAACGAGAUCUUCGGAUCUAGUGGCGGACGGGUGAGUAACGCGUGAGAAUCUGCCUGUGGGUCGGGGACAACCACUGGAAACGGUGACUAAUACCGGAUGAGCCGAAAGGUAAAAGAUUUAUUGCCCACAGAUGAGCUCGCGUCUGAUUAGCUAGUUGGUAAGGUAAAAGCGUACCAAGGCGACGAUCAGUAGCUGGUCUGAGAGGAUGAGCAGCCACACUGGGACUGAGACACGGCCCAGACUCCUACGGGAGGCAGCAGUAGGGAAUAUUGGGCAAUGGGCGAAAGCCUGACCCAGCCAUGCCGCGUGAGGGAUGACCGCCCACUGGGUCGUAAACCUCUUUUCUCAAGGAAUAACAGGUUAGUAACUUCUAGCAAAAUGAAGUACUUGAGGAAUAAGCACCGGCAAACUACGU